GAUGAACGCUGGCGGCGUGCCUAAUACAUGCAAGUCGAGCGAACAGACGAGGAGCUUUCUCCUCGGACGUUAGCGGCGGACGUGUGAGUAACACGUGGAGAACCUACCUAUAAGAUUGGGAUAACUUCGGGAAACCGGAUCUAAGACCGGAGAAUAUAUUGAACCGCAUGGUUCAAUAGUGAAAGACGGUGUUGCUGUCACUGAUAGAUGGAUCCGCGCCGCAUUAGCUCGUUGGUAAGGUAACGGCUUACCAAGGCAACGAUGCGUAGCCGCCCUGAGAGGGUGACCGGCCACACUGGAACAGAGACAGGGUCCACACUCCUACGGGAGGCAGCAGCCGGGACGCUUCCGGAAUGGCCGAACGCGUGACGGAGCACUGUCGCGUGAGUCAUGAACGUCUCCGGAUCCUAAAACUCUGUUAUGCGGGAAGAACAAAUGUGUAAGUAACUAUGCACGUCUUGACGGUACCUAACCAGAAAGCCCCGGCUAACUACGUG
RNAcentral lists this ribosomal RNA (497 nucleotides) under uncultured bacterium. RNAcentral describes it as "partial 16S ribosomal RNA". It matches the Rfam family "Bacterial small subunit ribosomal RNA", at positions 28 to 507 of the family's 1533-position model. The record is from RNAcentral.